Molecule: long non-coding RNA, 237 nt
Filed under: Elaeis guineensis (African oil palm)
Lineage: Eukaryota; Viridiplantae; Streptophyta; Magnoliopsida; Arecales; Arecaceae
Description: long non-coding RNA (EGUI_LNC041339)
Source: RNAcentral
UCCGGAUGUUAGGUAUUAUUGCUAGAUGAUCACUUCGAUUAGUAUAGGAAGAAAUUUCUAUACUACCAAUUUAGUUUUGGAAUUUAUUGAGUCGCGCACAAAAGUCAAACGAUGUAGAAAAGAAUUGACCGAAUAUUUAUAUGUUCAAUUUAAAAAUAUGAGACUUGAUUGAAUAUGUAAAUUAACUUAAUUAAGAAUUAAGUGUAGGUCAUACAGAAUUAAACACUAACUAUAUUC